AGUGAACGCUGGCGGUAGGCCUAACACAUGCAAGUCGAACGGCAGCACAGUAAGAGCUUGCUCUUACGGGUGGCGAGUGGCGGACGGGUGAGGAAUACAUCGGAAUCUACUUUUUCGUGGGGGAUAACGUAGGGAAACUUACGCUAAUACCGCAUACGACCUACGGGUGAAAGCAGGGGAUCUUCGGACCUUGCGCGAUUGAAUGAGCCGAUGUCGGAUUAGCUAGUUGGCGGGGUAAAGGCCCACCCAGGCGACGAUCCGUAGCUGGUCUGAGAGGAUGAUCAGCCACACUGGAACUGAGACACGGUCCAGACUCCUACGGGAGGCAGCAGUGGGGAAUAUUGGACAAUGGGGGCAAGCCUGAUACAGCCAUACCGCGUGGGUGAAGAAGGCCUUCGGGUUGUAAAGCCCUUUUGUUGGGAAAGAAAAGCAGCAGGUUAAUACCCCGCUGUUCUGACGGUACCCAAAGAAUAAGCACCGGCUAACUUCGUG
Molecule: ribosomal RNA, 492 nt
Filed under: uncultured bacterium
Lineage: Bacteria
Description: partial 16S ribosomal RNA
Rfam family: Bacterial small subunit ribosomal RNA
Source: RNAcentral